UGGUGCUAAUCCACUGCAAGCUCACUGUCGCUCAAACAAGCGAUUACGGAGAUCACGGAGCUCAAGACGGAAGCACUGCGCCUGGGGUAUCCGGCUUUGCAGUAGACGACAACGAGAACUGGGUCCUGAACUCCACUGCGAAAACUCUCGAUGAACUGAUACAAGAGGGUCCCCCGCACGACGCAGGCAACCUCGGCAGGGCCCUCGGUCGCGAAAAGGCGACUGCCCUGCCUCCCAAGCGUCGUGGAGGCGGCCAGGCUGGCGGCCAGGCUGGCAGGGAGG
Thrips palmi is the source of this 282-nucleotide long non-coding RNA. RefSeq lists it as uncharacterized. The record is from RefSeq and is a predicted model, not a curated record. The transcript has 3 exons. Lineage: Eukaryota; Metazoa; Arthropoda; Insecta; Thysanoptera; Thripidae.